RNAcentral lists this long non-coding RNA (810 nucleotides) under Numida meleagris (helmeted guineafowl). RNAcentral describes it as "lncRNA (ENSNMEG00000012728.1)". The record is from RNAcentral. Lineage: Eukaryota; Metazoa; Chordata; Aves; Galliformes; Numididae.
UUAAACUGCACUGAAAUUACUAGAAGAGUUUUUGGAUACGCAGAUCAUGUUUAGGCUUAGGCACUGAAUGGCAGAUGUUAUUUGACUAAUGUAUGUGCUUUCUUGCAGUGAUAGUUUGAACUAAUUAUACUAGCUAUUUUAAACAACAGCCAAGAUAAUACAGCCUUAGAUUCUACUGCUUCAUCUCCACAGGGAGACAGGGGAGAAGUGCUACAAGGAGUAGCAACUUUAUUUCCAAGACAAACUGUGUACCCUUUGAAACACAAGAAAGCAAGAAGAGAUUCUUUCAAGACUCUUUGAUCUCCUUCCACGAUCUUUUUAUCAAUUUACAAAGGCAGAGAACCCCUGUAGCAUAAGAGUAGUGAAGAACAAGCAUUUGAACAGGUGGGAAGAGAUUCCAAAGAUGUUCCAGAUGAAAUUCAAAGAGAAAAGAUAAAUUGUGUGAAGAGCUGAAAGAAAAAAAGAAUGAUGUAGAGAUACCAUCCAAGUGAUUCAGGAGAAUAUGCUCUGCAUUGGAAGAACUCAUAUGCUCCCAAUAUAAAAUGUGUUUUAUGCAAAACAGCAUUACAGCUGCACUCACCAUGUAGUUCUCUGUUCUGCUGUUCUAGUUCACGGAGAGUAACGACCCAAACACUCCAAGAAGAAUGGCAUUUUCUUUGCUGGGGAAGUAAGUCACAAUCUAGUGUGAACAGGGUCUAUUAAGUGAGCAGUCUAGUUUAUUUUCCAGUUCUUUAGUUUUAAGAGACCUUAGGGACUACCAGUGCCCUUAGGAGAAAUAAAGAGAAAAGUUUUCUAUUUGUUUGUUUUUUA